This 471-nucleotide ribosomal RNA is filed under the name Shigella sonnei. RNAcentral's name for it is "partial 23S ribosomal RNA". It matches the Rfam family "Bacterial large subunit ribosomal RNA", at positions 474 to 946 of the family's 2925-position model. The record is from RNAcentral. Lineage: Bacteria; Pseudomonadati; Pseudomonadota; Gammaproteobacteria; Enterobacterales; Enterobacteriaceae.
UCCUGACUGACCGAUAGUGAACCAGUACCGUGAGGGAAAGGCGAAAAGAACCCCGGCGAGGGGAGUGAAAAAGAACCUGAAACCGUGUACGUACAAGCAGUGGGAGCACGCUUAGGCGUGUGACUGCGUACCUUUUGUAUAAUGGGUCAGCGACUUAUAUUCUGUAGCAAGGUUAACCGAAUAGGGGAGCCGAAGGGAAACCGAGUCUUAACUGGGCGUUAAGUUGCAGGGUAUAGACCCGAAACCCGGUGAUCUAGCCAUGGGCAGGUUGAAGGUUGGGUAACACUAACUGGAGGACCGAACCGACUAAUGUUGAAAAAUUAGCGGAUGACUUGUGGCUGGGGGUGAAAGGCCAAUCAAACCGGGAGAUAGCUGGUUCUCCCCGAAAGCUAUUUAGGUAGCGCCUCGUGAAUUCAUCUCCGGGGGUAGAGCACUGUUUCGGCAAGGGGGUCAUCCCGACUUACCGACCCG